CCUACGGGGGGCUGCAGUGGGGAAUAUUGGACAAUGGGGGCAACCCUGAUCCAGCCAUGCCGCGUGUGUGAAGAAGGCCCUCGGGUUGUAAAGCACUUUCAGUGAGGAAGAACGCCUGGUGGUUAAUACCCAUCAGGAAAGACAUCACUCACAGAAGAAGCACCGGCUAACUCCGUGCCAGCAGCCGCGGUAAUACGGAGGGUGCGAGCGUUAAUCGGAAUUACUGGGCGUAAAGCGCGCGUAGGUGGCUUGAUAAGCCGGUUGUGAAAGCCCCGGGCUCAACCUGGGAACGGCAUCCGGAACUGUCAAGCUAGAGUGCAGGAGAGGAAGGUAGAAUUCCCGGUGUAGCGGGGAAAUGCGUAGAGAUCGGGAGGAAUACCAGUGGCGAAGGCGGCCUUCUGGACUGACACUGACACUGAGGUGCGAAAGCGUGGGUAGCAAACAGGAUUAGAUACCCGAGUAGUC
Molecule: ribosomal RNA, 465 nt
Filed under: Vreelandella stevensii
Lineage: Bacteria; Pseudomonadati; Pseudomonadota; Gammaproteobacteria; Oceanospirillales; Halomonadaceae
Description: partial 16S ribosomal RNA
Rfam family: Bacterial small subunit ribosomal RNA
Source: RNAcentral